RNAcentral lists this long non-coding RNA (590 nucleotides) under Homo sapiens (human). RNAcentral's name for it is "non-protein coding lnc-TCN2-1:2". The record is from RNAcentral. Lineage: Eukaryota; Metazoa; Chordata; Mammalia; Primates; Hominidae.
CACCCAGGCUGGAGUGCAGUGGCAUGAUCUUGGCUCACUGCAACCUCUGGCCCCCAGGUUCAAGCAAUUCUCCCGCCUCAACCUCCCACCCCCCACCGAACUGCCCAACUCCCCCUCCCCAACUGCCCAACUCCCCCACCCCCACAAUCCCCUCCCGCCACAACUGAGGGAGGCGGUGCUGAAAAACAGCUGACUCCAGCAAUGCUGCUCACGUGACCACUGCAGCUGCAGCUCCCGUUCCACUCCUUGUCCUGGGCUAGGUGGGCACUACCAGGGGCUCCUUUGGUAAGGAGUACCGGGUAGGCACCCGGUCCUGCCAAUCCACCACUGGAACAGCUGGGGGGACAGCAGACAGGCACGGUCGGACAGACUUGACAGAUCAGGCAUCAGGCCCUCUGCGCUGGUCCCGGGCUCUUUAAGCAGGAACGUGAAUGGCCUCAAGAUGUCUCACAUGGUCCCACUAGCCCUCCUCCUCCCUUUGUUCCCUACCUCCAGGAGGGCUGCUCUGCCCUUCCUUCCUCUGUUCUUUGGCCUUAUGUUCCCCGCCACCACAGACCUUCCCCCGCCCCACCCCUCUGCAGACUUAGCCG